This 212-nucleotide ribosomal RNA is filed under the name uncultured soil bacterium. RNAcentral's name for it is "partial 16S ribosomal RNA". It matches the Rfam family "Bacterial small subunit ribosomal RNA", at positions 26 to 241 of the family's 1533-position model. The record is from RNAcentral.
AGGACGAACGCUGGCGGCGUGCUUAACACAUGCAAGUCGAGCGGUAAGGCCUUUCGGGGUACACGAGCGGCGAACGGGUGAGUAACACGUGGGUGAUCUGCCCUGCACUUCGGGAUAAGCCUGGGAAACUGGGUCUAAUACCGGAUAUGACUUCAGGUUGCAUGACUUGGGGUGGAAAGUAUUUAUCGGUGCAGGAUGGGCCCGCGGCCUAU